UACGUAGGUGGCGAGCGUUAUCCGGAAUCAUUGGGCGUAAAGAGGGAGCAGGCGGCCGCAAGGGUCUGUGGUGAAAGACCGAAGCUAAACUUCGGUAAGCCAUGGAAACCGGGCGGCUAGAGUGCGGAAGAGGAUCGUGGAAUUCCAUGUGUAGCGGUGAAAUGCGUAGAUAUAUGGAGGAACACCAGUGGCGAAGGCGACGGUCUGGGCCGCAACUGACGCUCAUUCCCGAAAGCGUGGGGAGCAAAUAG
RNAcentral lists this ribosomal RNA (251 nucleotides) under uncultured Catenibacterium sp. RNAcentral's name for it is "partial 16S ribosomal RNA". It matches the Rfam family "Bacterial small subunit ribosomal RNA", at positions 524 to 775 of the family's 1533-position model. Lineage: Bacteria; Bacillati; Bacillota; Erysipelotrichia; Erysipelotrichales; Coprobacillaceae. The record is from RNAcentral.